UCAAGUGACUAAGUGCAUGUGGCGGAUGCCUUGGCGAUCACAGGCGAAGAAAGACGCGGCAGCCUGCGAAAAGCUGCGGGGAGCUGGCAAACGAGCUUUGAUCCGCAGAUAUCUGAAUGGGGGAACCCACACCGCAAGGUGUAUCCGUGACUGAAUACAUAGGUUACGGAGGCGAACGAGGAGAACUGAAACAUCUAAGUAUCCUCAGGAAAAGAAAUCAACCGAGAUUCCGGCAGUAGCGGCGAGCGAACCCGGAGGAGCCUAGCUUUUGAUAGUACGAACUUUAGCCGAAAGGUCCUGGAAAGGCCUGCUAUAGUGGGUGAUAGCCCCGUAGGCGAAAGAGUUCGUAUGGUACUAAGGAAGCGAGAAGUAGAGCGGGACACGUGGAAUCCUGUUCGAAGAUGGGGGGACCAUCCUCCAAGGCUAAAUACUCGUGAUCGACCGAUAGUGAACCAGUACCGUGAGGGAAAGGUGAAAAGAACCCCGGGAGGGGAGUGAAAUAGAACCUGAAACCGCAUGCAUACAAACAGUAGGAGCCUCACCAGAGGUGACUGCGUACCUUUUGCAUAAUGGGUCAGCGACUUACAUUCUGUGGCGAGCUUAACCGAAUAGGGGAGGCGCAGCGAAAGCGAGUUCGAAAUGAGCGUCCAGUCGCAGGGUGUAGACCCGAAACCAGAUGAGCUAUCCAUGGCCAGGUUGAAGGUGUGGUAACACACACUGGAGGACCGAACCGACUAGUGUUGCAAAAUUAGCGGAUGAGCUGUGGAUAGGGGUGAAAGGCCAAACAAAUCUGGAGAUAGCUGGUUCUCCCCGAAAACUAUUGAGGUAGUGCCUCGUGUGUCGCUCCAGGGGGUAGAGCACUGUUUUGGCUAGGGGGACAUGGAGUCUUACCAAACCAAGGCAAACUCCGAAUACCUGGAAGCGUAAGCACGGGAGACAGAGCACCGGGUGCUAACGUCCGGACUCAAAAGGGAAACAACCCAGACCGCCGGCUAAGGUCCCCAAUAACAGCUAAGUGGAAAACGAAGUGGAAAGGCCGUGACAACCAGGAAGUUGGCUUAGAAGCAGCCAUCCUUCAAAGAAAGCGUAAUAGCUCACUGGUCGAGUCCUUCUGCGCGGAAGAUGUAACGGGGCUAAGCUGUUAACCGAAGCCGCGGAUGCACUGGUUAUCCAGUGCGUGGUAGGGGAGCGUUCUGUAAGUCUGCGAAGGCGGUUCGAGAGGACUGCUGGAGAUAUCAGAAGUGCGAAUGCUGACAUGAGUAACGUUAAAGCAGGUGAAAAGCCUGCUCGCCGUAAGCCCAAGGAUUCCUGCUCUACGUUCAUCGGAGCAGGGUGAGUCGGCUCCUAAGGUCAGGCCGAAAGGCGUAGCCGAUGGGAAUCAGGUUAAUAUUCCUGAACCUGCGUCAGAUGCGAUGGGGGGACGGAGCAUGAAAGAUCAUCCGGGUGUUGGAUGUCCCGGUUGACGAGCGUAGGAGGUCUGCAGGCAAAUCCGCAGACGCAUCUCCAAGGCGAAGUCACGUGCCGCCACGGCGGCGAAGUGAUCGGAAGUGCUUCCAAGAAAAGCCUCUAAGCACCAGUCUGACGCGGACCGUACCGCAAACCGACACUGGUGGGCGAGCUGAAUAUGCUCAGGCGCUUGAGAGAACUCGGGAGAAGGAACUCGGCAAAUUGACACCGUAACUUCGGAAGAAGGUGUGCCGUAGUACCGUGAGAGGAGAGACACCUUGAGCGGGAAUCGGUCUCAGAGAAUAGGUGGCUGCGACUGUUUAUUAAAAACACAGCACUCUGCAAAGUCGAAAGACGACGUAUAGGGUGUGAUGCCUGCCCGGUGCUGGAAGAUUAAUUGAUGGGGUGAGAGCCCUUGAUCGAAGUCCCAGUAAACGGCGGCCGUAACUAUAACGGUCCUAAGGUAGCGAAAUUCCUUGUC
This 1927-nucleotide ribosomal RNA is filed under the name human gut metagenome. Its description in RNAcentral is "bacterial LSU rRNA". It matches the Rfam family "Bacterial large subunit ribosomal RNA", at positions 3 to 1973 of the family's 2925-position model. The record is from RNAcentral.